GAUGAACGCUGGCGGCGUGCCUAAUACAUGCCAGUCGAGCGAACGGACGAGAAGCUUGCUUCUCUGAUGUUAGCGGCGGACGGGUGAGUAACACGUGGAUAACCUACCUAUAAGACUGGGAUAACUUCGGGAAACCGGAGCUAAUACCGGAUAAUAUUUUGAACCGCAUGGUUCAAAAGUGAAAGACGGUCUUGCUGUCACUUAUAGAUGGAUCCGCGCUGCAUUAGCUAGUUGGUAAGGUAACGGCUUACCAAGGCAACGAUGCAUAGCCGACCUGAGAGGGUGAUCGGCCACACUGGAACUGAGACACGGUCCAGACUCCUACGGGAGGCAGCAGUAGGGAAUCUUCCGCAAUGGGCGAAAGCCUGACGGAGCAACGCCGCGUGAGUGAUGAAGGUCUUCGGAUCGUAAAACUCUGUUAUUAGGGAAGAACAUAUGUGUAAGUAACUGUGCACAUCUUGACAGUACCUAAUCAGAAAGCCACGGCUAACUACGUG
This 497-nucleotide ribosomal RNA is filed under the name uncultured bacterium. RNAcentral describes it as "partial 16S ribosomal RNA". It matches the Rfam family "Bacterial small subunit ribosomal RNA", at positions 28 to 507 of the family's 1533-position model. The record is from RNAcentral.